This 164-nucleotide ribosomal RNA is filed under the name uncultured bacterium. Its description in RNAcentral is "partial 16S ribosomal RNA". It matches the Rfam family "Bacterial small subunit ribosomal RNA", at positions 355 to 511 of the family's 1533-position model. The record is from RNAcentral.
UAGGGAAUCUUCCACAAUGGGCGAAAGCCUGAUGGAGCAACGCCGCGUGUGUGAUGAAGGCUUUCGGGUCGUAAAGCACUGUUGUUAAAGAAGAACACGUAUGAGAGUAACUGUUCAUACGUUGACGGUAUUUAACCAGAAAGUCACGGCUAACUACGUGCCAG